CCUACGGGCGGCAGCAGUGAGGAAUAUUGGUCAAUGGCCGAGAGGCUGAACCAGCCAAGUCGCGUGAGGGAAGACGGCCCUACGGGUUGUAAACCUCUUUUGUCGGGGAGUAAAGCGAACCACGUGUGGUUCAUUGAGUGUACCCUAUGAAAAAGCAUCGGCUAACUCCGUGCCAGCAGCCGCGGUAAUACGGAGGAUUCGAGCGUUAUCCGGAUUUAUUGGGGUUAAAGGGUGCGGAGGUGGAUGGUUAAGUCAGGGGUCAAAGUUGGGGGCUCAACCCUGUAAUUGCAGUUGAAACUGGAUGCCUUGAGUGCACGAGAGGUAUGCGGAAUGCGUGGUGUAGCGGUGAAAUGCUUAGAUAUCACGAAGAACUCCGAGUGCGAAGGCAGCAUACCGGCGCGCAACUGACACUGAUGCACGAAAGCGUGGGUAUCGAACAGGAUUAGAUACCCCAGUAGUC
This 460-nucleotide ribosomal RNA is filed under the name uncultured bacterium. RNAcentral describes it as "partial 16S ribosomal RNA". It matches the Rfam family "Bacterial small subunit ribosomal RNA", at positions 338 to 795 of the family's 1533-position model. The record is from RNAcentral.